RNAcentral lists this ribosomal RNA (271 nucleotides) under uncultured prokaryote. RNAcentral describes it as "partial 16S ribosomal RNA". It matches the Rfam family "Bacterial small subunit ribosomal RNA", at positions 524 to 794 of the family's 1533-position model. The record is from RNAcentral.
UACGGAGGAUCCGAGCGUUAUCCGGAUUUAUUGGGUUUAAAGGGUGCGCAGGCGGGAGAUUAAGUCGGCGGUGAAAUUUUGCAGCUCAACUGUAAAAGUGCCUUCGAUACUGGUUUCCUUGAGUGUGGAUGAAGUAGGCGGAAUUUAUGGUGUAGCGGUGAAAUGCUUAGAUAUCACGAGGAACUCCGAUUGCGCAGGCAGCUUACUAAACCACUACUGACGCUCAGGCACGAAGGCGUGGGGAUCAAACAGGAUUAGAUACCCCCGUAGU